ACGGGUGAGUAACACGUGGGUGAUCUGCCCUGCACUUCGGGAUAAGCCUGGGAAACUGGGUCUAAUACCGGAUAUGACCUCCUAUCGCAUGGUGGGUGGUGGAAAGAUUUAUCGGUGCAGGAUGGGCCCGCGGCCUAUCAGCUUGUUGGUGGGGUAAUGGCCUACCAAGGCGACGACGGGUAGCCGACCUGAGAGGGUGACCGGCCACACUGGGACUGAGACACGGCCCAGACUCCUACGGGAGGCAGCAGUGGGGAAUAUUGCACAAUGGGCGAAAGCCUGAUGCAGCGACGCCGCGUGAGGGAUGACGGCCUUCGGGUUGUAAACCUCUUUCAGCAGGGACGAAGCGCAAGUGACGGUACCUGCAGAAGAAGCACCGGCUAACUACGUGCCAGCAGCCGCGGUAAUACGUAGGGUGCAAGCGUUGUCCGGGAUUACUGGGCGUAAAGAGUUCGUAGGCGGUUUGUCGCGUCGUUUGUGAAAACCAGCAGCUCAACUGCUGGCUUGCAGGCGAUACGGGCAGACUUGAGUACUGCAGGGGAGACUGGAAUUCCUGGUGUAGCGGUGAAAUGCGCAGA
Molecule: ribosomal RNA, 578 nt
Filed under: uncultured bacterium
Lineage: Bacteria
Description: bacterial SSU rRNA
Rfam family: Bacterial small subunit ribosomal RNA
Source: RNAcentral